GACGAACGCUGGCGGCGUGCUUAACACAUGCAAGUCGAGCGGUAAGGCCCUUUCGGGGGUACACGAGCGGCGAACGGGUGAGUAACACGUGGGUGACCUGCCCUCAGCUCUGGGAUAAGCCCGGGAAACUGGGUCUAAUACCGGAUAUGACUUCAUGACGCAUGUUGUGGAGUGGAAAGCCUUGUGCGGCUGAGGAUGGGCCCGCGGCCUAUCAGCUUGUUGGUGGGGUGAUGGCCUACCAAGGCGACGACGGUAGCCGGCCUGAGAGGGCGACCGGCCACACUGGGACUGAGAUACGGCCCAGACUCCUACGGGAGGCAGCAGUGGGGAAUCUUGCGCAAUGGGCGAAAGCCUGACGCAGCGACGCCGCGUGAGGG
RNAcentral lists this ribosomal RNA (377 nucleotides) under uncultured bacterium. Its description in RNAcentral is "bacterial SSU rRNA". It matches the Rfam family "Bacterial small subunit ribosomal RNA", at positions 28 to 407 of the family's 1533-position model. The record is from RNAcentral.